RNAcentral lists this ribosomal RNA (502 nucleotides) under uncultured bacterium. RNAcentral's name for it is "partial 16S ribosomal RNA". It matches the Rfam family "Bacterial small subunit ribosomal RNA", at positions 28 to 507 of the family's 1533-position model. The record is from RNAcentral.
GACGAACGCUGGCGGCGUGCCUAAUACAUGCAAGUCGAACGAACCGCGACUGAGUGCUUGCACUUGGUCAAGGUGAGUGGCGAACGGGUGAGUAACACGUGGGUAACCUACCUCAUAGUGGGGGAUAACAGUCGGAAACGACUGCUAAUACCGCAUAGGACAUGGAAUCACAUGAUUCUGUGAGGAAAGGUGGCGCAAGCUAUCGCUAAGAGAUGGACCCGCGGUGCAUUAGCUAGUUGGUAGGGUAAGGGCCUACCAAGGCGAUGAUGCAUAGCCGACCUGAGAGGGUGAUCGGCCACAUUGGGACUGAGACACGGCCCAAACUCCUACGGGAGGCAGCAGUAGGGAAUCUUCCGCAAUGGGCGCAAGUCUGACGGAGCAACGCCGCGUGAGUGAAGAAGGUCUUCGGAUCGUAAAGCUCUGUUGUUAGGGAAGAACAGCGCAUAGAGUAACUGUUAUGCGUGUGACGGUAUCUAACCAGAAAGCCACGGCUAACUACGUG